GUUAUAUAGACAUAUGUAAGUAUAUGUAUGCGUAUAUUUUCCUUUUUUUCUUAUGGUGAAGAAAAGAACGCCUCGACGAAUUGGACAACUUAAUGAAAACGUCGGAGUCAUCAUAUGAGAGAUCCAAAAAUAUAGAUAACAAAUUGGAAGAUAUAAAAGCUUGUCGAAAAAAAACACAACUCUUAAAUAAUAAAAUUAAAGAUACAAAUGAUGAGUUAGCCAUAAUAAAUAAAAAAUAUAGCAAUUUAAAAUAUGAAUUACAGGACCUUAUACAAUUAGAAAAGAAUCAAAAUGACAAACUAGAAAAAAUAUAUACAAUGUUACAAAUUAUUCAAAAAUUAAAAGAAGGAACACAUAAAAAUAUAAACGAAGAAGUUUUAAAAAACAAUUUAGAAGAAAUAUAUAGUUUAUAUCAAUAACAUUUUUUUUUUUUUUUUUUUUUUUUUUUUAUAACAUAUAUAUAUAUAUAAUCAUAUUUAUAAUAGUGUCCUACAUGUGCUGGAAGUUUAUAAACAUUUUGAUGUAUCUUAGAUAGUUAAUAUAUGAUGUUCUAUAUGAAGGAUGGCCAAUGUGUGAUGAGAUGACCGACAACUUACAUGACUAUAUUAUUUCAUUUAGCCUGUUUUAAGCUUUUCUUAUAAUUUUUCCGUAAUGAUCUUUUUUUGCUCAUAAUAUCUUCAAAUUGUUCAUUGUUUUUAUGAAGAUCAAAUAACUUUUUAGUUAUUAAUUCGGUUUGAUCAUUAAACAUGUAGAUAUCGCCUGUGCUCGACCCUCUAGAUAUUCUUCCGUUUCUGUUAAGGUGCAAAAUAGGUUGUAUAUAUAUAUAUAUAUAUUGUCAAAGAUAAAAAAAAAAAAACUUAUAUGUACAUGCAGCUAGCUUUAUGUAGAUUUUUAUAAGAUCACAUUUUUUUUUAAAUUAUUCACACGCUCGUGCAUGCGCGUGUUCAUGCACACACGUACUUAUAAUUAACAUUUUUUUUUUUUUUUUUUUUUUUUUUUUUUUUUUUAAACAAUGUAACAAUAUUUAACUCUAGAACAUUAGCAUUUUGUUAAAUAACAACUUUUGUUUUAUUCUGUGACUAGUAUAACUCUUGUUGUGGGUACAACAUUUGCAUUUGCACUUGUUUGUAUUUGCUUUACAUUUGUACUUUACCUGUGGGUGUAAACUACCACGUUUGUUGGUGUAUCAAAAUGAAAAAGGUGCGUACCCCCCUUGAUGUCUAGUCCCCUGUGUAUAAUGUCAGUAGUUACAAGUAUUGUUUGAUCUGCAUUUUUAAAAUAAUUAAGAAUGAUUAAUUGAUCGUCUUUUUUGACUGAAGCAUUAAAAAUAAAUACAUUAUCAAAAGAACCUUUUAACA
This 1358-nucleotide long non-coding RNA is filed under the name Piliocolobus tephrosceles (Ugandan red Colobus). RNAcentral's name for it is "lncRNA (ENSPTEG00000008869.1)". Lineage: Eukaryota; Metazoa; Chordata; Mammalia; Primates; Cercopithecidae. The record is from RNAcentral.